CUUCACCACCAUUGCUUGCCGCCUCUUCACGGUCAUCGUUCACCUUCUUUUCACGGCCGUUGAUUGUUGCCGGGGUGGGAUCGCUUGCUUUCGCCACCUCUUCACCCACCGAUUGUUAAAGGCUUUGUGGAGCGGAGAAGUGGCUGCUGGACUUGGACUUGAAUCUCUCGUGGACCUGGCAUUGAUUCUGGUUUUCCAUUCUCUUUGCAAAGACCAUAUCUAUGAGAUGAUGGACGUAAUAUCGUGGUUAAAGCUCUAGAAUGUGGUUUUUAUUAUUUCUGAUGAUUUCUCCGGCGAGCAGCACGAACUCAAGUUAUCACAGAUAAUUUAGAUUCUCAUAUCUACGUGCCAUAUUCUUAAUCAAAUUGUGAUUGAAACGUGAUCCUACUAAAGCUUGACACUUGCGAAGACAGAUCGAAUUCAGAAGCCAUACAGUUCUCCCUUAAUUGAAGUUACCAACAAUUUAAAUUAAAGGAAAUUGGAGCCUGUUGUGCUUCCAUCACCUGUCACUUCAGUGGAACUGUUGAGAAUAGCGGUAUCUGAAUCACUAUUAACUGUCAGAGAGGCGUUAGAAAAGUACCAGCUAGUGUCAGAAAAGGUAUAUUCUUUGGAGAUUUCUGUGAUUUUUUUCAUUUCCUGUAAUAUAUUUCAUCCAAUUAUCUUAACUCUUAUUUCUCUUGGGGAUGAUUCCGACU
Molecule: long non-coding RNA, 695 nt
Organism: Dioscorea cayenensis subsp. rotundata (Guinea yam)
Lineage: Eukaryota; Viridiplantae; Streptophyta; Magnoliopsida; Dioscoreales; Dioscoreaceae
Exons: 6
Source: RefSeq, a predicted model, not a curated record